This 2553-nucleotide ribosomal RNA is filed under the name Triticum aestivum (bread wheat). Its description in RNAcentral is "partial small subunit ribosomal RNA". The record is from RNAcentral. Lineage: Eukaryota; Viridiplantae; Streptophyta; Magnoliopsida; Poales; Poaceae.
AUGGCUAGUGGAGAGGCGGAUCCACCGCCGGCCACGAAGCCAUCAACUCCAAUGACCCCCGGACAGCGAAGCUUCACACAGAUGGCCGCUGAGACGAUUCCACCUACUGCCGAACAGGGAGGCGACUCUUGCAUCCAUGGAUCACCACGAUCUACUCCAGAUUGGUCUCGGCGGGUGGCUAGUAAUGAUUCAUAUGUAUCAACUAUGGUAGGAAGUGUUGAUUGGUCCCAGAUUGAGAUAGCACCAAUGAAUGAUGACGAAAUUGAUGUUCCUAUAACAGAAGAGAACAUGUGCUCGGUGCUUGGCAUCAAUGACGAACCUGAGCAUCGGAAAAUUGUAUCUGAAGCAGCCAUGAAAGCCUCCAUUGCAGAUGUUGAUGCAUGUGUGGCUGAUAUUGAUGAGGAUUUACUUGCUGAUGCGGCUCUUCCUGUGCCUGACCAUAUGCCUGAAGAGGAUCACUUUUGGUAUGAUAAGAAACAUCCUGUGAUAGAGGAAGGAUCUUUGUUUCGUUCAAUGAACGAGUUUAGGAUGCUCAUCAGAACAUUUGCUAUUAGAGGCAAGUUUGACAUCAAGAUCAAGGAUAGUGACACUACUAGAUUUUUGGGUCACUGUAAAGGAAAUGCAUGUCCUUGGAGAAUAACUGCUAGGACAAUAGAAGAUGGAAAAACAGUCAGGGUUAACAAGAUAGUAAAGCCUCAUAAGUGUUCAUCAACCGCUGCAGUGACAACAAGCAUGGCAGACCAAGCAUGGGUGGCAGAAAAGGCAAUGGGGUAUAUUCAAACUGAACCAAACAUUGGUGCCAGCGAGCUCCGAAAAAAUCUACAAGCCGAGUACAAAUGUACUAUUGGGUAUCAUACUGUUAACAAGGGAAAAGAAAGGGCCAAGAAUAGUUUAUAUGGGACCUGGGGAAAAAGCUUUCAGUCGUUAUUGAACUUCAAAGCUGAGAUUGAUAAAAGAUCUCCCGGUAGCAUUGUCGAGGUUGAUGUCAAGAGGGAAAGAGGUGAAGUGCAUUUUCGCAGAUUUUUUAUGGCACUUAAGCCGUGCAUUGAUGGCUUCUUGGCUGGUUGUAGACCAUAUGUCAGUGUAGACUCCACAUUUUUGACUGGAAAGUGGAAUGGUCAAUUAGCAGCAUGUACAGCACUAGAUGGACAAAAUUGGAUGUUUCCUUUAGCAUUUGGUUUCUUUGCUACGGAGACCGAGGAUAACUGGAUUUGGUUUAUGCAACAACUGCAUAGGGCAAUAGGACAUCUUCAAACUCUAGCUAUUUGUACUGAUGCAUGCAAAGGGUUAGAGAAUGCAGUUAAAAUUGUGUUUCCUCAAGCUGAGCAAAGGGAGUGCUUUAGGCAUCUAAUGGCAAACUUCAAAAAAAAGUUUCAUGGAGAUGUUUUUGGUCGCAUGUGGCCAGCAGCCAAGGCUUAUCGUCUGGAAACAUUUAACUAUCAUAUGGCCAAGAUAUUUGAAGCUGAACCUGCAGUGAGUGUCUACUUGUGUACCUAUCAUAACUUAAAGUGGAUGAGAUGCGACUUCAACACAGAAAUAAAAUGUGAUUACAUUCACAAUAAUCUAGCCGAGUGCUUCAAUAGCUGGAUCAAAGGAACAAAAGAGCUGCCCAUGGAUGAGCUAGCCGAUGCAAUAAGAGAGAAAAUUAUGAUACUUGUUUAUAGAAGGAGAAGGAUUGGGGAAAUGCUUCAGGGAGAGAUAUUGCCUGCCAUCAUUCAACAAAUAAAUAAUAGAACUAGGCAACUUGACCAUUUGGUUGUUGGAAGAUCAACGGGAGAAAGUUGUGAGGUGAAGGACACUAGCAAAAAUAAUCUUAGGCAUGUUGUGAAGAUAGGCAGCCGUGAGUGCACUUGCCUAGAAUGGCAACACACUGGAAAGCCCUGUGAGCAUGCACUUGCAUUCCUUAUAGAGACGGCAGAUGUAAAUUUUCAUCCAUAUGUACAUGAGUACUACUCCGUGAGUAGGUUCCGGGCUGCCUAUGCUGGAGAGAUUGAACCAAUCACAGACAAGUCUCAAUGGCCUCAUGUUAAUAUAGAUUUUGAAAUGGUGCCACCGGUUUUAAAGAGCUCUGUUGGGAGACGGAGGAAGCAGAGAAUCAAAAGUUGCCUUGAAGAAGGUGGUGGUGGUGGCAGCAAACGGAAGAAAAAAGAUGAUAAUGGCAAAACAAAUAGCCAAGAAGGAGGUGAGAAAGAGAAGGAAAAAGAAAAGAAGAGAUUUGGCAGUAAAAAUAGGUGCAAAGAAUGUGGGAUAUUGGGGCACAGGAAAGCAACUUGCAAACAAAAUGAAGCUAAAAAGAGUGACGUGUCUGCGCAUGAGCUCGCUCCAGUUGUUGUUGCGACACCUACACGCACAACAACAAUAACACUGCCUCCCAGCCUUCAUAACAGCCCUGGGCCUAUCACAAGGAGGAGGCUUGCUAUGGCCAUAGCUGGAGACGAUGCAUCACAGCCAUGUGGGACAACUAUUGAUUCUGUAGCAUCACCUACUUCUCACUUCCCUUCACGCUCUACAACAUGCAAGAAAAAGUUGACCCCAAAGAGGAAGAAGCUCUAA